GGGCUUGUAGCUCAGCUGGUAGAGCGCUGCAUUCGCAUUGCAGAGGCCAGGGGUUCAAGUCCCCUCAAGUCCACCA
This 76-nucleotide transfer RNA is filed under the name Candidatus Falkowiibacteriota bacterium. RNAcentral's name for it is "tRNA-Ala". It matches the Rfam family "tRNA". From Rfam's summary of the family: Transfer RNA (tRNA) molecules are approximately 80 nucleotides in length. Their secondary structure includes four short double-helical elements and three loops (D, anti-codon, and T loops). Further hydrogen bonds mediate the characteristic L-shaped molecular structure. tRNAs have two regions of fundamental functional importance: the anti-codon, which is responsible for specific mRNA codon recognition, and the 3' end, to which the tRNAs corresponding amino acid is attached (by aminoacyl-tRNA synthetases). tRNAs cope with the degeneracy of the genetic code in two manners: having more than one tRNA (with a specific anti-codon) for a particular amino acid; and 'wobble' base-pairing, i.e. permitting non-standard base-pairing at the 3rd anti-codon position. Lineage: Bacteria; Candidatus Falkowiibacteriota. The record is from RNAcentral.